This 532-nucleotide ribosomal RNA is filed under the name Cortinarius rigens. RNAcentral describes it as "eukaryotic LSU rRNA". The stretch from base 169 to 322 matches the Rfam family "5.8S ribosomal RNA". The record is from RNAcentral. Lineage: Eukaryota; Fungi; Basidiomycota; Agaricomycetes; Agaricales; Cortinariaceae.
UUGAAAUAAACCUGAUGGGUUGUUGCUGGUUCUCUAGAGAGCAUGUGCACGCCUUGUCAUCUUUAUAUCUCCACCUGUGCACUCUUUGUAGACCUUUCAGGUCUAUGUUGCCUCUUCAUUUACCCCAAUGUAUGUUAAUAGAAUGUCGUGCCUAUGAAAAAUCUAUACAACUUUCAGCAACGGAUCUCUUGGCUCUCGCAUCGAUGAAGAACGCAGCGAAAUGCGAUAAGUAAUGUGAAUUGCAGAAUUCAGUGAAUCAUCGAAUCUUUGAACGCACCUUGCGCUCCUUGGUAUUCCGAGGAGCAUGCCUGUUUGAGUGUCAUUAAUAUAUCAACCCUCUCAUGUUGAGUGAGUAGUGGUUUGGAUGUGGGGGGUUUGCUGGCCUUGUAAAAAGGUUCAGCUCCCCUGAAAUGCAUUAGCAGAACAACCUGUUCAUUGGUGUGAUAAACUAUCUACGCUAUUGAAUGUGAGGGCAGUUCAGCUUUCUAACAGUCCCUUGGACAAUUCUUCAUUUAUGUGAUCUCAAAUCAGG